UUAGGGAAAAGGAAGGCCGGUCAACAUGGAGGAGAAUGACACAGGAAAGGAGCUUCAUGUGGUAGCCAGGGGACCUUGGGGAGCUUAAAAGGAAGCUGUGUGAAAGAGUCUGAGCUUCUUCUUUUUUAAUGUAUGGCAUAGUCCAAAAAGAUGGAGUGUCUUAUGUGAGGAGCAACAGGAAGACCGAUAUCACUGAGAGUGCUUGAUGGAGAAUAAGAUCUAAGAGAAUUGUAAAGGUGACCCUGCAGUGUUCUAGGACUUGAUGCAACCAGUAUGAUGUCAUCUGUGAACAUGAGACUCUGGAGGACUUUAUCAUCUAUGAAGAAUCCUUCUUGUAUUCUUGACUUGGAUUCUGCACUGGAUCUCUUCCAUGACAGCAGGAAACACGCUUUGAAAAGCCUGUCUCCCUGUUUUAUCCUUCAUCUGCCAUUCAUGAUUAUAAUAUAGUCAAACCAA
Trichosurus vulpecula (common brushtail) is the source of this 456-nucleotide long non-coding RNA. RefSeq lists it as uncharacterized. The transcript has 2 exons. The record is from RefSeq and is a predicted model, not a curated record. Lineage: Eukaryota; Metazoa; Chordata; Mammalia; Diprotodontia; Phalangeridae.